This 340-nucleotide long non-coding RNA is filed under the name Mytilus galloprovincialis (Mediterranean mussel). Lineage: Eukaryota; Metazoa; Mollusca; Bivalvia; Mytilida; Mytilidae. The record is from RNAcentral.
GAUAAGCAAGGGGUUAAAUUUCAAAUGUAUAAGACAGCAAUUUAUUUGGGGUAAUCAAUCAAUUAAAUUAAAUGGUAAAAGUCUUGUUUUUCCAAACUGGAUAGAAAGUGACAUUCUUUUUAUUAAUGAUAUCAUAGAUAAACAAGGAAAUAUCUCCCAAAAAGUAAUCUUAAAUAAAUUGAAAGAAAAAUCAAACUGGAUAGCAGAACUUUCUAAACUGAAAUCUGCAAUCAAAAAGGAAUGGAAACUCAUGUUAAAAUCAAAUCAAUCAAUUUCAACUAAAGUUCAAAUAGACAGAAAUCUUUACUUAGAAACAAAAAACAAAGCCAAAUCAAUUUGC